RNAcentral lists this ribosomal RNA (550 nucleotides) under Klebsiella pneumoniae. RNAcentral describes it as "bacterial SSU rRNA". It matches the Rfam family "Bacterial small subunit ribosomal RNA", at positions 1 to 542 of the family's 1533-position model. Lineage: Bacteria; Pseudomonadati; Pseudomonadota; Gammaproteobacteria; Enterobacterales; Enterobacteriaceae. The record is from RNAcentral.
AAAUUGAAGAGUUUGAUCAUGGCUCAGAUUGAACGCUGGCGGCAGGCCUAACACAUGCAAGUCGAGCGGUAGCACAGAGAGCUUGCUCUCGGGUGACGAGCGGCGGACGGGUGAGUAAUGUCUGGGAAACUGCCUGAUGGAGGGGGAUAACUACUGGAAACGGUAGCUAAUACCGCAUAAUGUCGCAAGACCAAAGUGGGGGACCUUCGGGCCUCAUGCCAUCAGAUGUGCCCAGAUGGGAUUAGCUAGUAGGUGGGGUAAUGGCUCACCUAGGCGACGAUCCCUAGCUGGUCUGAGAGGAUGACCAGCCACACUGGAACUGAGACACGGUCCAGACUCCUACGGGAGGCAGCAGUGGGGAAUAUUGCACAAUGGGCGCAAGCCUGAUGCAGCCAUGCCGCGUGUGUGAAGAAGGCCUUCGGGUUGUAAAGCACUUUCAGCGGGGAGGAAGGCGAUAAGGUUAAUAACCUUGUCGAUUGACGUUACCCGCAGAAGAAGCACCGGCUAACUCCGUGCCAGCAGCCGCGGUAAUACGGAGGGUGCAAGCGUU